GCACUGGUGGUUCAGUGGUAGAAUUCUCGCCUUCUGUGCAGGAGACCCUGGUUUGAUUCCCAGCCAAGGCC
This 71-nucleotide transfer RNA is filed under the name Loxodonta africana (African savanna elephant). It matches the Rfam family "tRNA". From Rfam's summary of the family: Transfer RNA (tRNA) molecules are approximately 80 nucleotides in length. Their secondary structure includes four short double-helical elements and three loops (D, anti-codon, and T loops). The record is from Rfam by way of RNAcentral. Lineage: Eukaryota; Metazoa; Chordata; Mammalia; Proboscidea; Elephantidae.